UCGAACUCACAGAGAUCCACCUAG
This 24-nucleotide non-coding RNA is filed under the name Cricetulus griseus (Chinese hamster). Lineage: Eukaryota; Metazoa; Chordata; Mammalia; Rodentia; Cricetidae. The record is from RNAcentral.